GACGAACGCUGGCGGCGUGCUUAACACAUGCAAGUCGAACGGAAAGGCCCUGCUUUUGUGGGGUUCUUGAGUGGCGAACGGGUGUGUGACACGUGUGUAACCUGCCCUUGACUUUGGGAUAUAUUCAGGAAACUGGGGCGAAUACCCGGUAGAAUCUCCUGAUCCAUGGUGGUCGUUGGAAAGUGUCGGCGGUUGUGGAUGUACUCGCUGCUUAUCCGCUGGUUUGUGGGGUAGUGGCUUACCAAGGGUUUGACGGGUAGCCGGCAUGAGAGGGUUACCGGGCACAUUGGGACUGAGGGACGGCGCAGACUCCUACGGGAGGCAGCAGUGGGGAGUAUUGCACAGUGGGCGGAAGCCUGAUGCAGCGACGUCGCGUGCGGGAUGACGGCCUUCGGGUUGUAAACCGCUUUGGACUGUGACGAAGCGUGAGUGACGGUAAUGGGUAAAGAAGCACCGGCUAACUACGUG
RNAcentral lists this ribosomal RNA (468 nucleotides) under uncultured bacterium. RNAcentral's name for it is "partial 16S ribosomal RNA". It matches the Rfam family "Bacterial small subunit ribosomal RNA", at positions 28 to 507 of the family's 1533-position model. The record is from RNAcentral.